UAUGGAGCUUUGUGAGAUUGACUGUUC
Molecule: non-coding RNA, 27 nt
Filed under: Homo sapiens (human)
Lineage: Eukaryota; Metazoa; Chordata; Mammalia; Primates; Hominidae
Source: RNAcentral